CGGACCUGACUGCUAUCGGAUUGAUACUAAGCCAUGCGAGUCAUUGUAGCAAUACAAGGCAUACGGCUCAGUAACGCGUAGUCAACCUAACCUAUGGACGGGAAUAACCUCGGGAAACUGAGAAUAAUGCCCGAUAGAACAUUAUACCUGGAAUGGUUUAUGUUCCAAAUGAUUUAUCGCCGUAGGAUGGGACUGCGGCCUAUCAGUUUGUUGGUGAGGUAAUGGCCCACCAAGACUAUUACAGGUACGGGCUCUGAGAGGAGUAGCCCGGAGAUGGGUACUGAGACACGGACCCAGGCCCUAUGGGGCGCAGCAGGCGAGAAAACUUUGCAAUGUGCGAAAGCGCGACAAGGUUAAUCCGAGUGAUUUCUGCUAAAGAAAUCUUUUGUUAGUCCUAGAAACACUAACGAAUAAGGGGUGGGCAAGUUCUGGUGUCAGCCGCCGCGGUAAAACCAGCACCUCAAGUGGUCAGGAUGAUUAUUGGGCCUAAAGCAUCCGUAGCCGGCUCUGUAAGUUUUCGGUUAAAUCUGUACGCUCAACGUACAGGCCGCCGGGAAUACUGCAAAGCUAGGGAGUGGGAGAAGUAGACGGUACUCGGUAGGAAGUGGUAAAAUGCUUUGAUCUAUCGAUGACCACCUGUGGCGAAGGCGGUCUACUAGAACACGUCCGACGGUGAGGGAUGAAAGCUGGGGAAGCAAACCGGAUUAGAUACCCGGGUAGUCCCAGCUGUAAACUAUGCAAACUCAGUGAUGCAUUGGCUUGUGGCCAAUGCAGUGCUGCAGGGAAGCCGUUAAGUUUGCCGCCUGGGAAGUACGUACGCAAGUAUGAAACUUAAAGGAAUUGGCGGGGGAGCACCAC
Molecule: ribosomal RNA, 858 nt
Filed under: uncultured archaeon
Lineage: Archaea
Description: bacterial SSU rRNA
Rfam family: Archaeal small subunit ribosomal RNA
Source: RNAcentral